UGCUGUUUUUAAAUUUAACAGGAGUGGGAGAGCCUGCGACAUGUUUGUCGGUGGUGAUUCCGUUUGCAAUCAGAGAAGCUAUCGCCCACGCCAGACAAGAGUCCGGUAUCCCCACCACUGAGUGGUUCGAUAUUGCUGGUCCUUGCUCCAUCGAGAACAUUUGCUUGGCCAUCAAGAACAACACUGAAGAUUUCAGAUUCAAUUAAGUGCUGAGAUUCAACGGCUAUACUUUACCUCAUCACACGUUUUUGUGACCUUAAAUGACAACUGGCUGGCUUUCCAAUGGUACUGUGUUUUACUAUGAUAACUGCGUCGCGAUCUUUUCUUGUUUCACCAAAAUCAUUUGACACUUGUUUUCGUCUUAUAGGUUUUUGUUACAUUGGUGUUUUUGAAUCGAUCGAUGGAUUUAUCGCUAUAUUGAUAUUAUAACGAUCUUGUUUUUCGAUAUCAAUAUUAAGGUAUUAUUCAAGAUUUUCUUUUUCUAAAAUCAUUGAUUUCAUUCACAUCAAUAUUAGGGGCAUCACUUAGUUUUUUUUAUAAAAACCGAUUUGAUUCCCAAAAGUAUUUGUAUCGCGUCGUAAUUAUUGCCUAUUUUUACUUGUAGAUA
Trichoplusia ni (cabbage looper) is the source of this 607-nucleotide long non-coding RNA. RefSeq lists it as uncharacterized. The record is from RefSeq and is a predicted model, not a curated record. NCBI's taxonomy places the organism in Eukaryota, Metazoa, Arthropoda, Insecta, Lepidoptera, Noctuidae. The transcript is spliced from 2 exons.